Molecule: non-coding RNA, 72 nt
Organism: Phacochoerus africanus (Common warthog)
Lineage: Eukaryota; Metazoa; Chordata; Mammalia; Artiodactyla; Suidae
Source: the annotation of a RefSeq genome assembly
UCCUGGGUGGUCUAGUGGUUAGGAUUCAGCACUUUUGCUGCUGCAGCCCAGGUUCAAUCCCUGGUCUGGGAC